GCAAGAGUCAAAACUUGCCCGCAGCGACCUAACUGCACCUCCAGUGUCUACCCCCAUAGGGCACGGAAGCAGCAAGAAGGGCGGGAACACUUGACUGGGGUCUAUGCAGCUCUAGGCUGAGUCUUGCAGGGCUGAGCCCCCCAGGCCUGCUCUCCUGUGUCCUAGCCGCUCUGUCAGUGCCUGCCAGUGGGGUCCGGAGGAACCGUCUCUUUAACGUCUCUUUUGCAGUGAGAUGCGCCUACUUCUCCCUGGAGAAGCUCGAGGAAGCAGGAAUGCUGGAGAUGAGCUGCUCCUCACUCUCACUCCUGGGUGUGCUGGGCAGUGGGGUGCAAUGUGCACGUAGGUGCACACUCUCCCUGGGCGGCAGCGAGAAGCAGAGGUCUGAUCUGUGGUCGGAUGAGGAGAGGAAGUGCAAGUAAAGCAGCUGCAGCGAGACCUCGUCUGCUCAGGGGCUUGUUCUUACAUCUUUUGCAGGGCUGUUUUGAAGUCAGUAUUCACUUAAGCACUCCAAAUUACCCAGCACACCCUGCCUGCAUGGCGCUGCGCUGCACCUUCACUCUGGUCACGGGUCUGGCAGUCGGCUCACCAAUUCGUCCUGCUUCCCUGGGACUCGCCGGCUUUUAGCACUGCAAUUCACUCAGCAAACUGGGACUGUUGGUCACCCUACCUGGCAGCCAGUGAUAAGGUGAGGGCCACUCCUGGGAGGGAGGACACCUGUGGGGAAAAUUCUUGUGUUAUUUAUUUCUCCUUCGGGAUAGGGUGCCUGCAGCGCUUCAUGGGAGGGGGUGG
Homo sapiens (human) is the source of this 789-nucleotide long non-coding RNA. Ensembl annotates it as EOLA1 divergent transcript. Its record names the gene EOLA1-DT. The record is from Ensembl. NCBI's taxonomy places the organism in Eukaryota, Metazoa, Chordata, Mammalia, Primates, Hominidae.